RNAcentral lists this unclassified non-coding RNA (300 nucleotides) under Hevea brasiliensis (rubber tree). Lineage: Eukaryota; Viridiplantae; Streptophyta; Magnoliopsida; Malpighiales; Euphorbiaceae. The record is from RNAcentral.
UACAUCAAACUGCAUUGAUUCUCAGUCAUUUUUGUUAUAGUUACUUCUCUAACCUUCUAUUAUUUAUUUUUUAAUGUUGGGUUCUUUUUAAUUUUUAAUGUUUGUGGUAUAUAAUAGUGUUAUUGUAGAGAACUUAAACAUGCUUGGAUGAUAUUGAUUAUUUGUUGGAUUGGAUGGCAAUCUAGUUAUAGCUUUUUUUCUAUAAAUAGUUGGUUUCACUUGUUUUAGUAUUAGAAUCUUCUUCUCUUGUCAUCAAGUAAUUGGCUGUCUUUACUGCAGGUAUCACUACAAUGUAAUGGA